RNAcentral lists this ribosomal RNA (253 nucleotides) under uncultured bacterium. RNAcentral describes it as "partial 16S ribosomal RNA". It matches the Rfam family "Bacterial small subunit ribosomal RNA", at positions 524 to 776 of the family's 1533-position model. The record is from RNAcentral.
UACGGAGGAUGCAAGCGUUAUCCGGAAUUAUUGGGCGUAAAGGGUCUGUAGGGGGUGAUUCAAGUCUGCUGUCAAAGCGCGGAGCUUAGCUCUGUACAGGCAGUGGAAACUGAGUCACUUGAGUUCGGUAGGGGUUGCGGGAAUUCCCAGUGUAGCGGUGAAAUGCGUAGAUAUUGGGAAGAACACCGGUGGCGAAAGCGCGCGACUGGACCGAGACUGACACUGAGGGACGAAAGCUAGGGGAGCGAAAGGG